This 10524-nucleotide long non-coding RNA is filed under the name Prunus persica (peach). Its description in RNAcentral is "long non-coding RNA (PPER_LNC002949)". The record is from RNAcentral. Lineage: Eukaryota; Viridiplantae; Streptophyta; Magnoliopsida; Rosales; Rosaceae.
UCUCUCCAUCUCAAUCCCCUCUCUACAAUUUCCCAUUGAUUUAUAACAACAAAGGACUUGUCUUUGUUUUCUUUGUGGUGGAACUGCUUCUCUAGGAAUCACUUUUGCUAAUAAUCGCUUCUAGUAAAAGAGCUUUUAUUAUAAGGUGUUGAAAUUUUCAUAAGAAAUCAAAAGCACUUGGGAAUGCUUCCUAAAGGAGAAGCACAAGGCAGGUGUUUCUUCGAAAAAAAACUUCUAUGGCCUAUAAGUACUUCUAAACUUUUCUGCCAAAUGCGGUCAAAAACGCUUUUGAUUAUCAAAAAGCGCUUUCAGUUUUCCAGAAGCACUCCCAAACGGGCCCUAAGUAUAUCAACUUUAGUAAUAACAUUCUUCUUGCUUUAAAUAAUAAUAUAAAAAAGCUGGGGUUUGAUUAUAAAUAAAAAUAAAAAAAUGAAAGAAAGAAGGUGUGAUUUUUAAUCCAAAUGAGCUUUUAUUUCCCACAAUAAGAGUUCAAUUAUUGUGGAAAGUUUUAGGCCAAAAGUCACUUUUGGUCUCUAUAGUUUGGCAUUUCAAUCACUUUCGACCUUAUAGUUUUAAUUUCGUCACUUUUGAUCAUGUAGUUUCAUAUUUGUAACAAUUCAAGGACAAGAUAAAAUUUCUUUCAAUUUCUUUAACGGAACAACCACUUGCCACUCAUUUGGAGGGGCACUUUUAUCAGACCAAAACCUCACUUUAAAAAUUGGUCGCUACCUCUUUCCUUGGGCGCAAAAAUGGGCAACCAAAAUCUCAAAAUCCUCCCUCCUUCACUAUCCCAAAUUCCUAGCGCCUAACCAAUCUUUAUCUCCUCCAUCCAUUUCUCUCUCCCUACAGAUUCAGAACAAAACAACAAAGCAAUAACUUUCCAAACCCAAAGUUACAGAACAAAACAAGGCCACAAAAGAAUGGAACAAAAGCAUUGUAACCCACUUAUAUGCAUUGAAAAGUCGAAUAAAUGUUAUAAAACAAUUUCGCACAGAAAACUGUACCUUUAGGCUUUGUUUGGUUUAUGGAAUGAAUUUGAGGGGAAAUCAUUUUCCAAGGAAUGGAAAUGGAAGAUUCCUUUCCCACGUUUGGUAAUGCUAGGAAAGUAACCGGGAAAUAUCACUUUAUUUCCUUUCCCAUGUUUGUUUUGAAUAGGAAUGGAAACAAAAUUUGUAUAAAUUUUCAAUUAUACCCAUAUUAAAUCAAAUAAAAAAAGAAUGCAUUUAAUAAUAUAUUGUAAUUCUAAAUUGUUAAUGGGGAUAAAAUGGUCAUAAAAAAUAUGUAUUUAAUGUUAGCUCAUUUUCCCAAACUUUCCCAUGAGAAGGGUAAACAAAACCCAAGUUGGGAGGAUGACUUCACUUUCCCCCUACUUUCUCAUGAGUCAGGAAACGAUUUUCCAUACCUAGACUUACCAAACAUGGGAAAGUAAUUGAUUUCCCACCCCAAGUCUCCUUUCCCAUGAACCAAACAGGGCCCUAGUGACUCCUUAUAAUUUAAUGUUGCUUUGUUUUAUGCAUAUUUUAAACUUUUAAUUAAUGCUAAUUAUAAUAUUUACGACUCCCUAAACUAGAGAGUAUGAUUAGAGUUCAAAUUUUAUAAACAGUUCAUAAAAUAGCUUUUAUGUGUUUUUCGCUAAAUUUUAACUAAAAAAUAAAGAGUAUUAUUAUAAAUGCUCUUAGCCCAACUUUAAAAAAUAAUAAUAAUCACAUCAGCAAACUACAAAGACUUUUGCCACCAGAUUGGGAAUAUUACUCAUUAGCCUGUCACAUGCCUACAGUAGCAGGUUAAGGUCUUGGAAAGUAUGCAGAACGCUCGUUUCAUAUAUAUAUAUAUAUAUAUAUAUAUAUUGUUGUUUUUGGGUGAGACAAUUAAAAUAUGGACAGAACUUGGUGAGCAAGUUUUAUAUACAAGAAGUUCUUUAUUUCAAGAAACCCUCAAAUCCAAUCGUGCAAAGAACCGUAACCAGUUCUAUUAUAAAAGAAUAAUAAAAGUCAACAUUACAAUUUUAUGGUCAAUGUUUUUUGCCGGGAAGGUUUUUAACUAAUUAAUCUUUUAUGCAUGUGCUAAUAUCUCAUCUCACAUGCACCCCAUGGUUAAAAGAUGAACAUAUUUAUAUGUUAAAACCACAAAAUAUUUAAUUUUGGUGGACGCUAUCAAUGGAAUAUUUUGAAAGAGUCUUCGUCAAUGGAUUUCACACGCAUUAGAUUCGAGAACACGAAUGUUAAUUACUUGCCUUAAUACAAUUCUCUAUCUCCUAUAAAUUAGACCAGCUUGCUGAUUUUCUAGCUACUAUUGCAUCACUUUUCAACCACCCAUUUCUCAGCCAACCAAACCCAGAAGCCAUGUCUGUCAAGAAGAGUCUCUCUCUCAACAACGGCGGAGCUGGGAUGGGUGGUGCAUCUACGAAGAAGACUAAGAAGAGUUAUUCUCUAACCAAUGGUGGGAACGGCGGCGAUGUAGUUACAGCAAAGCGCGGGCGGUUUGAUCGAUGUUUUUCUUUCAUGGAGAUUUCAACAGAACAAGGAAAAUCACUCAAGGACAUGGAUUCGGAGAAGUUGAAAUCUGGGAUCAGGAGGUGGGCUAAGGCUGUUGUUGCUUACGCCCGCCAAGUCAGCGGCCGCUUCGGAGGCACCCGUGGCUGACUGAUGACAAGCCUAACUGUAAGUGCCUAAUGGAAGUAGUUCUGCUUUGAACAUAGUGAAUAUCAAAAUGAUGGAGUUACUUGAAUUGUAACUCAAUUUUCCAUGCUGAUAAACGUACAUAGGAGAUUAAGAAAUGAAUGAUUGAUUGGUCCUUGUAUGUAAAUGCGCCCAAUGAUGUAAAUAGUUGAUUUUUCCAUCCAAAAUAAGGCCUGUGUCAAGCCAAGUAUCCAAAUUGCAUGCUAUUUUGUUAAUACUCACAAAAAGCAAAAACAAUUUUUUUGCACUUUUCUGUUAUAUUUAGGUGAAAUUGGAAUUUAAACCAUCCAAGGAAAAAGAAAUUAUAGCCAGUACUAUACAUCUACUUACAAAACCAUUACAACCCACCAAAAGAACAAACAAAAACGAAACCAAAAUUUUUGUGCUACUGCAGCUCAACUCUAGAAAGCCUAUUUGUGGCUUAGUUUCUAACUUAUGAGAAGACAGCAACGAUAAAACCUCUACUCCCUGACCUUAUUGUGACUUUUUAAGUUCACCAAAUGUCGCCCUCUCACCAGAAAUGUUCCUCAAAAGCUGUUUCGAGCACAUGUUCUCAGCCGUCGUUGCAUCUUUCACACGGUCGGCCUUCACCCAAGCCGGUUCCUGCAAGAAAGUUUUAUGAUAAUAUAAUGAUCAGCAUCUUCCUUUUAACCAUUACAUGUUAUAAUAACAAGAGAUGAUGUAAAUUUGGAGUAAGCGUUCACCUCGGGAACAAAGCGGGAGAAUCCAAACUUAAUCAACAAGAGGACAUGUUCCAUAACCAGAAUUGCAGCCAGGCCAGGCUCUAUCUUCCAUUUGCCCUCUUCAUCAUAUAACCAUACUAGAAGCGCACAGUUGGUGCAUAUAGACAUAACGACGAGAAACUACAAAUUGCAGACAACCUGACAUUAGAAAGAUGACGAUAAGAGAGAAAAUGGAACACAUAGUCAACCCUCCAAUUCUCUCCCUUGUUUUAUAUUUACUGCAGAGAAGAAAGCAAAUCUAAUACAGCUGCCAACAAAUAUGUCUCUUUACCUAAUCAAUCCAUUUUGAACUUUCCAGAAUUUAAGGUUGAGCUAUACGAAUUCUAUAUUUUCUUCACAAUACAUAACCAUAAACCAUAAGUAUAAGUACCUGAAAUAUAUUCAGCCAAGCUCCAAUUGUUGUGGAAAAACGAGGAGUUGGUCUUCUCAACAUGGCAAGAAGCUUCAAUGCAUCCGCCCUAAUUUCGGUGAUGUUGUUCUGUGAAAAGUACAACUCGAACAUUAGAAUACAAAAUACUACAAAGCAUAAAGAACUCCAAAUAAACAACCAUAAAGCAUAAUUUACCAAAGUUGCAAAAGCAAAAGCAAGGGGGAAUGCACAAGCAAACAUCAUUAUCAUUCCGAACUGCAAUGCAACCUCCAGAAAGUCUGCAGGUCAAAUCACAGUGCUAAUCAGCAGAGAAUAAAGAAACAUACAAGAAUUCUCAUGAUUACUCGAAACUAAGGAGGAAAAUGCAAAUUUUAAAAACGCCAGACAUAAUUGACAUAUUACCAUCAAACAACCCAUCUUCAAGUUCCAUGCCAAUGCUUGCGGAAUAAGAAGGCUUCAGGUACUCUUUUUCUACCCUAGAAGCAAACUGGAUCUUCCCAGUUGAUGAACCUUUUUCACGUUUUUUCUUGCUCCUUGAAUUCAGAAUGGCAAAUAAGGUCAUGUUCAGAUAAACUUAAAAUCACCCCAAAACAUAAGGGUCCAGAAGAUAAAAACAUAGUAUAGGCUUACCGAAUUCUAUAUUUCUUAUAACUGUACUUGAGAUAUGGCAAAGUAUUUUCCAACAAGUUUUCCAACACCUGGAAAGCAUAGACCAAUUCAUGAGCAUGAGAGGAGAGGUAUAAAAUCAAAACAGUGAAUAAAAUAGAACUCAUUUUACCUGAGACACAAGGAGGCGUUGAAUCAAGACUUUGCGGAGUGUUGAAAAAUUGCGGUGCAAAAGGGCAUGGUAGAAAACUCCUAUAUAUGACUGCAUGAAAUAAAGACCAAACACCUGCAAAAUAAAUUAAAACACAAAAUAAGUCCUUGAACUUUGAAGCGUAGAAAACUCCUCCAAGAAGCAGCAAAGAAGACGCUAGGGAUCGAUCUCCACUUAACACACCUUGUAGACCAAGCUGUCUGCUUUUUUUUCUGUGUUUUCAUUAUUUUCAUACUUAAUGAGCUUGACGGAGAUCUUGCCCCCAAUCUGUGUAAGGAGCUGAAUGGCAAAAAGAUAAAUGGUAGUCAACCCAAACCUGAAAAAUAAAGAAAGGAUAAGUGUCAUUCUCACACUAUAAUUCCAAAGAAUUAAUACCAUAGGAAAAAGAAUGAAUGCUGUGUCUAAAUGAUCGCUACAGAUCAGAAUUGGUUGUGCCCUUAAAUUGGGUUUCUGUUUGACUUAAUAUUUCUAAUUCGACUUUCCCUCUCCUUGUCCAAAGUUUCUAAGCAUGAGGACAAGUGCAGCAGCAGAUACAAACUCUAAAAUCCCAUUAUGUCAAAACCAAUAAACCCAAAAUUUUCCUCCAUCUUAUGUCUAGUAUGCAACCUGAACAGAGUCAAUCUCAGCAAUAGUUCUCAUCCAACUGUCAAUAGCACUCAUGCACAACUGAUGCACCGAGUUAUCAUGCAUAAAAAAUAAAAAUAUGAGCACAAACUCUGGAAUGUUAAAAAUGAUUUUUCAUUGAUGAAAAUAGAAUUAGAUGAAUGUGCAAGUGUAUACAUUCACAUGAAUGCAAGAGGACUCGGCGUCUUACUUCAUAAUAUCAGACCCAAUAACCUCGUAAAUAUGAGCAUACGCUAGUUCGAAUGGUAACUGGAGGCAUAUAAUACUGAAGAUAAUGAUAGCAUCAUUUCGGAAUCUCAUGAGUCGUCCAAACCACUCAAUUCUUUGGAACAUUUCUUUCUCUUUAGUUUUGUCAGUCCCCCAUUUUUUUGCGAUUUCAAUAGACUGUGAGGAACUCCACUCCAUGCCCUGUCUAUAUCCCAGGUCAGCUCUAAUUGGGUAACGAAUCUUCCAUCUAAACACGCAACCAAGAAAGAGAAAGAGGUAAAGUAUGUUAGAAAAAGUAAAAAUAUAACUGAAAAUGAAUAAGCAUAGAUCUGAUAACCACAAGACAAUUUCAUUGUAAAUCAAGCUACCUGGCUAAAAGGGCAUUGUUUUUACGUUUCCAGAACUGGGAAAACAUUAUAGCCCACAAUAUUAUGCUUAUGAAGAAAAUGGGGAGCACCAGUAACUGCAAUGACCUAAGGAAAACAUUAAGCAAACAUACAUCAGUUUCAAUAAGCAGCACUAGUAAAAUAAGUUGACAGCCAACAAGGAAAUUAAGAAAUAAGGAAGAUGACCCACCCAAAAUCAAACAUGUGCAAAAUAAGCCCAAAUGCAGCUGGAAAGAGCAACCACCGAGUGUACAUUCCAAGGAAAGCAAAAUAGAUGGCAAUCUACAAAGACAUUAAAUUCUUGCUUAAUGUUAGGAAAUAGAGAGAAAGAUAGUUUGCUAUUGCUACUAACUCACUUUUGUUCCAAAAUAGGAAUAAAUCUCAUCUAUUGGCUGGUUUGUGAAGUCCCACCAGUGCAGUGCCCACGUCUGAAGGAGCUUCUUCCUUUUUAUUUCAUCUAUCAGUCAAAAAUCAUCUUAAUUUAAAGUUUAACAGAGAUGCACGCAUUUUGUGAAUUUGUAAACAUACCAUGCAAAGGAAACACUUCUUUGACGAUCCUCUCUGACUCCAAUUUCUGAAGUAAAUACUCCCCGACUUCCCAUUGGAAUUCUUUGCUGUCAAAUCUUAAUGUUACACUUGACUGACUCUUGUUAAUCUGUAAAAUUUCAGUUCUAUCUUUGUCAAAGGCAAAAACUUAUGGAUGAAUAUUUGCACACAGAAAUAUAAUUAUAAGGGAAAAUGUUCCAAGGGUUUCAGUUGUUUGUACAUCAACUGGCACAAAGUUUAGAAAAACAAAACACUAGAGGUCAACUGGUGGGAUGUAUUCUACCAAAGAGUGACAAAAAAAGGAUGGAUAUAAACAUGAAAUUGUAACGUAAAAUCAAAUUGAAUGGAUAUAUAACCUUAAUACGAUAUAAAUUUACAAUUAAAAAAAAUUCAAAAGCAUUCUGUAAUUAGAAGUAAUAUACCAAAACAUCAGAAAGAAAAAAUGGCAUUGGAACAUCAUAAGAUCCUAAUAUGUUAAAUGACUUACAAUUCCAUAUAUUAAGUGCCUAUAGCAGCGAAAACGCUCACACCAACUGAACAAAGAACCAUCAGGCUGUCUCUCAAAAGCAUCAACCUCCUCCCAUUCAAAUUCUAAAUCCAUCCCUGAAACCAAGUGCAGCAUAUUAGUUUUUUAGUAUUACCGAAGUGGAAAUUAAUAGAUACUAGAAUCUAAAAUACAGAACAACCUCAAAUGAAAAAUAAUAAAAUUUGAAAGCCAACUGGAAUAGAACUGCAAGAUCAUUACCAAUAGGAGUUCGUUUUUUAAUAUGCAAUUCAGCUGCAGCCCUCCCCAGUGUUUCCAAAGGUGCUGCCAACUGAAAGAUAGAAAUCUAAGGUCCAGCAACCAAAUUCAAGAAACCAUAUAGACAAAACAUUGCCGAAUUGUAUGUACCAUUUUCAUUCAGCAUAAACAAAAAACGACAUGAAUAAUGCUGGGUUAUCAUAAAUUGCCAAGUAUAGUGCUCAUUUGCAAUUUAGAAUAAAAAAUAGAAACAACAAAUUUUAGCAAAAGGGAACAUUUCUUUUUUGCCAUUAGCAAAAAGAUCUCAAUUUCAUAAGUUUUGUCUACAUGCGUCGGUACAAAAUACAAAGAUUCACUUGGAUUAAUUAAAAAAAUUUCCUAGUAAGCAAGAUUUAUAAAUACAGAGAGAGAUCGUAUCAGAAAUUAUUCACAGAAUCUAUUCUCAUGAGCCAAUUGCACGAAACAAUGUAUGGUAAUAUAAAUCAAUUACUGAAAAUCCAAACGAAAAAUCAAGGCAGGAAAAUAAGAGCAAAAGUAGAAAGACAAACCUUGAUAAACUCAUCAACAACGCCAUGCACUCUCUCAACUACCAAACCCAAAUUUCUAAACUCGUCUACCAACACCUCCACACAGUCAGAAGCUUUAUCUUCUUCCUUCACAUCUCUCUUUGGAACCACAACCCCAAUCUCAAAAGCAGUUUGUUCCUCCUCAAGCACAUUCAUUUCCUGUCCACCAAACAACUUUAACACCUGAGAACAGCCAAAUGGAUCUCUGUCUUUAAGAUCCAAAUGAUGCCCAAACCCACCAAAGAGGUAAACUUUCACAGAAACUGGCUCAAACAGUGAAGUGGGCAAUUGUAUUUUGGAACAACAGAAGCUUGCAAACACCAAAGACAAGAUUUUUCUGUUGAAAUGGCUCAAAUUGCUAAAUGGGUCUAUCAAUUGUGAACCAACGUUGCUCUCUGUGCAGAUCAAACGAAAAGCUGUGUUUAUCAAACAUACAGAUAAAUGUGUCCCAAUGGAAUUGGAAAUGUAGGUUCUUGGAAGAUAAGAGCAGAAGAGAGAGAGAGAGAGAGAGAGAUGAGAGGGAGAACAGAUGGCCGAGCAGUCGGCUAUUAUGGGCGAGCCGUUGCGAGGGAGAGACACAUUGGAUGGUAUGGAAGGAGGAAGACACGUGGGCUCCGAUAUUUGGCAGUUCCUUACGUUUUGCGGUUUGCAGAAGCAGGGAAAGGAGAAGCCGGUACGAUUUCCCAUGUUACCUCGGGUCUGUCCAAUUUGACUACAUAUUUUUGGCCAAUAAAAUAAUUUUUUCUAUAUUUUGGAAGAGUUUUGAAAAUUUUGAAAAUUUGAAUGUCACCCAAUUAAAAAGGUAAACUAAUGCAGUUUUGACAUGGUGUAUGAAUGUUAUGUCAUUAUUAUUAUCUUGUCCAGUAGCAAAUGAUGCUCUCAAACUUCAUGGCCUAUUAUUGUUCAUCUAUUGAUUUCUUCUUUUACCAGUCUCAUUGUUCCCAACUAUUUGAGGAACAAAACCAAGAAUCGGCAAGAACAAACACUAAAAUCUAUGGUGAAAGGGAUAGCGACACUGAUGUUAUCUAUGGAUAUUACUCUUUUACAUGACAUGUUCGAAAACAUUAUUGAAAUUAUUCAUAUUCACGAUUUUCAAUAUAUAUGUAUUGGAAUUUUCUGUUUUUAUUUUUAUUUUUCUUGCGUUUACUAACACCUACGAAAUCAACUAUGUAAUCAAAUGCAUGCAAACCCAAGAAUUAGAUCGAUAUAGUAGUUGAUUUAAUUCUAAUUCAAAAGGACAAUAAUAAUUUGCAAAACAAACUAACCUUAUAGGUGAGGUGAGGGGUUAUGUCUGUCAAGACUCAAGAACUCUUCAACGAUUGUUUAUCUUACUUUUUCCAUGGGCAGAUGUCUUUGUACUUGUUUGCAAUAUUUAAAGAAGAAAGGGGAAACCAGUUUCGGGUAACUUCCCUUUGUUUCCUCUUCCUUGUGAAGGAGGGGAUGUUGCAAGUAAGUGUUUUCUUUUUGGGUUUAGCGGUGUAAAAAACUACCCUACCAUUUUUUAAUGUAAAAACAUAAAUAAAAGUUUGGUUAUGUAUAUCAGUUUUUGUCUAAUAAGUUUUUUGAGCUUUUAUCACAAAACAUCACAAGCUUGCGAAAUUAUUAAGUUUUUUUUUUCUUUCUUAGUAUUCAAUUUGAUUAUCCACGUUUUUCUGCACACAUCAAUGUUGUCUAUAUCGUCUAAUCCCAUUAAAAAUUCUAUUAGUGUGCUAAUGUGACACGCAUAUGCAGCCAUUACCUCACAAAUACGGUGAAAAAACUAAUUUUACAAAACUCAGUGACAAUUUGUGAUAAAAAUAUUUAUAAUUAUAAUUUUUAAGGUUUUUCCCAAUGGGGUCUAGCUCAUUGAAAAAAGGCCUAGGUCUCAGGUUUGAAUUCUCACGGCAUUAUAGUUGUAUGUGUGUGAGAAUAAUCCUCAUCUCAUGUAAUUUAGACUAUCGCUUGUACUCAAAAAAAUAAAAAUAAAACAUUUUAGGUUUUUAACAGCAAGGAGUAAGCCCAAGUCACAUAUUCUUUAUGUCCAGUCUAAAACAAAACAAUCCGAUACUUCACAAAAAAGCGGCCCAACAAAGGAAAAGUAGGAAACUUCGACUAGUUGACUUCCCUCUGAGACAGACGCGGAACGCGUAAAUCGCAAAUCCAAAACACACAAAUACGGAACCUUUCUCCGAUUUAAAACCAAAACCCUAGAAAAUCAAAUCCCCAAAAUCCACCAUGGGAAACACCGAGAAGCUGAUGAACCAGAUCAUGGAGCUGAAAUUUACGUCCAAGUCGCUUCAGCGCCAAUCCAGAAAGUGCGAGAAAGAGGAGAAAGCCGAGAAGCUGAAGAUCAAGAAGGCCAUGGAAAAAGGCAACGUUGACGGCGCUCGGAUCUACGCCGAGAACGCGAUCCGAAAGCGCACAGAGCAAAUGAACUAUCUCCGGCUCGCUUCCCGGCUCGACGCUGUGGUGGCUCGGCUCGACACCCAGGCCAAGAUGUUCACCAUCAAUAAGUCCAUGGGAAAUAUUGUCAAAUCACUCGAAUCGUCGCUGGCCACCGGAAACCUCCAGAAGAUGUCGGAGACCAUGGACUCGUUCGAGAAGCAGUUCGUGAACAUGGAGGUCCAGGCCGAGUUCAUGGAAACCGCCAUGGCUGGCUCCACCUCGCUUUCGACUCCAGAGGGUGAGGUCAAUAGCUUGAUGCAACAGGUCGCCGAUGACUAUGGGCUUGAGGUUUCUGUGGGCCUACCUCAGCCAGCUGCCCAUGCCGUGCCGGCCAAGGAAACCGAGAAGGUCGACGAGGACGACCUCUCCAGGAGGCUUGCGGAGCUCAAGGCUAGAGGUUAGAAUAGGGAAGGCGAUCAGC